This 508-nucleotide ribosomal RNA is filed under the name uncultured bacterium. Its description in RNAcentral is "partial 16S ribosomal RNA". It matches the Rfam family "Bacterial small subunit ribosomal RNA", at positions 28 to 507 of the family's 1533-position model. The record is from RNAcentral.
GACGAACGCUGGCGGCGUGCCUAAUACAUGCAAGUCGAACGCUUCUUUCCUCCCGAGUGCUUGCACUCAAUUGGAAAGAGGAGUGGCGGACGGGUGAGUAACACGUGGAUAACCUACCCAUCAGAGGGGGAUAACACUUGGAAACAGGUGCUAAUACCGCAUAACAGUUUAUGCCGCAUGGCAUAAGAGUGAAAGGCGCUUUCGGGUGUCGUUGAUGGAUGGACCCGCGGUGCAUUAGCUAGUUGGUGAGGUAACGGCUCACCAAGGCCACGAUGCAUAGCCGACCUGAGAGGGUGAUCGGCCACACUGGGACUGAGACACGGCCCAGACUCCUACGGGAGGCAGCAGUAGGGAAUCUUCGGCAAUGGACGAAAGUCUGACCGAGCAACGCCGCGUGAGUGAAGAAGGUUUUCGGAUCGUAAAACUCUGUUGUUAGAGAAGAACAAGGACGUUAGUAACUGAACGUCCCCUGACGGUAUCUAACCAGAAAGCCACGGCUAACUACGUG